GACGAACGCUGGCGGCGUGCUUAACACAUGCCAGUCGAACGGAGAGGCCCUGCUUUUGUGGGGCGCUCGAGUGGCGAACGGGUGAGUAACACGUGAGUAACCUGCCCUUGACUUUGGGAUAACUUCAGGAAACUGGGGCUAAUACCGGAUAGGAGCUCCUGCUGCAUGGUGGGGGUUGGAAAGUUUCGGCGGUUGGGGAUGGACUCGCGGCUUAUCAGCUUGUUGGUGGGGUAGUGGCUUACCAAGGCUUUGACGGGUAGCCGGCCUGAGAGGGUGACCGGCCACAUUGGGACUGAGAUACGGCCCAGACUCCUACGGGAGGCAGCAGUGGGGAAUAUUGCACAAUGGGCGGAAGCCUGAUGCAGCAACGCCGCGUGCGGGAUGACGGCCUUCGGGUUGUAAACCGCUUUCGCCUGUGACGAAGCGUGAGUGACGGUAAUGGGUAAAGAAGCACCGGCUAACUACGUG
Molecule: ribosomal RNA, 468 nt
Filed under: uncultured bacterium
Lineage: Bacteria
Description: partial 16S ribosomal RNA
Rfam family: Bacterial small subunit ribosomal RNA
Source: RNAcentral